GCCAGGUACUGCCAUCACGGGGACACGGAGGUGGCAGUUCCCCUCCCAGGCCCCUCAGGGUGCGCUCGUGGUCUCCUGUGUGACAACUUAAACACCAGUGCAAGAGAUGACGGAGCGAUUGAGGCAGCGAGGCUGAGCUGGGCCAAGCUGCCGGGGACUGACGGUCGCCUUCUGUUGCUCCAGAUACCAAGCAGAGGGGCUCUGGUGCCCAACAGCAGUUGGUGGUGACAGGACAGACAGCAGAGGAGUGGCACCAGGGGUUUGGAUCCUGCACUUGACCCUGGCCAGCCACGCGUUCUCAGAUCUCGUCCGUGACGUGCGGAUGGAUUCCUUUGCCAAGGAUUACACGUAUUGGGCAGGACACCAGGUACAGCGAUGCAGCAUCGCCACCCUCUCCACCAGUGUAGACACCCCCCCUGCCCUGCAGUGAGGUCAUGAGGGCCGGCAGAUGGGGUCAUGACUCUCGACAUAUUCUCCUAGUCUGCGGAGGUGAUGACCCUGUGGUCUCUCCUGUGGGGCUGACUCCAGACCACCCUCCUGGCCAUUCCAUCAUCACACCUGCCACCUGCCUGCUCCCCACAGGUCACCGCCCUGCCCAGAGACCUCCGUGCCUUGCCUCUCCCAACUGCCUUCCCGCCUGGCUCAGGAACGUGGGGAUCUCACCCGUGGGUUACGACUCUCGUUACUAGCCGUGCUUGAGGCAGCCUCCCACCAGAAGGGCUGAGGCCACGGGGAGGAGGAGUGGCACAGUGGGGUGAGCCAGUGGAACCCGCUCCCAAACAGAGAGGAUGGGCUGCGGGCAGGCCGCCAGGGGCGACCAGUGGAAAACACCCAAUGCCUGUGUCCUCAGACCCGAGCUUUUCCCCCCAGCCAGCUGGGCACGCGGCCCAUUUUCUUGGCCUCUCCGGGCCUCAGUUUCCGCCCCCCCCCCAUCAUGCAACGGUGGUGGGACUGAGGGGCUUGUGCACAACUCUCAGCCCAAUCCGACUGUCUGGGAUAGCAAACAUUUUAUGCCCCUGCUUUAAUAUCCUGCAAGAAAAUCACAGCUGACAAAGCAUGCCGGCCAAAUGACUUUUUAAGAACCAGUACGGUGCCCUAACUGUACCAUAAAGUAGAAAUCAAAGUCAAAUGAUUUAUGACAAAAAUAAUACAGGUUUUAGGAGGUCAGCACACCAUGUGCCUAAUAUGACCCUGCUGUGGGACAAAGUAAAGAAGCAGUCACAUCUACGCGUGGCCGCUGCAGAGACCGUCAGGAACGGGCAGGUGUCCAACGGGGGCUCCCACGCCAUUCAGGGCGUUGCCAAGGCGAUGUGAUUUUCCGAAAUCAGGAACAGCUCCCAGUCAAGAUCAAAACAAAAGAAAGUACAACUUCUCACAAUUUAGAGACCAGCUGUGCUCCUGGGAAAGUCGGCACUUAGGCGGAAACCAGGUGGUAGUCUCUGGGGAUUAAGGGCGGAUUUUUCCCUUCGUGAAGGUCUGACGGAACCUUCCAAAGUCAGAGGCAUACAGGAUAAUUCUCUACUCUGGGGAUUGCCCCACGCAUUACUGUAUGUCCAGCAUGUCCACCCCCAUGAAUGUCGGUCACCCCCAUCCCCUGGACAGGCAAACAGCCCUGCCAGCACCCCCGCGAUGGGGGCCACCUGGCCCCUGUAGCAGGAGUCGGGUAACGGAGGCUGACGGCCACCCAAAGGCUGCUGCUCUCCCCAGAGCCCUGGGAACAGGAAGGUGAGGGGUGAAGGCAGAGGCAGGGAGACCAGUGAGGAGGCUUCGAGAAUAACUCAGGUGACAAAUAAAGGGGUCCUGAUUGCAAGUAGUGCCGGGCAACAAGGAACUAUGGGGAAGGUGCAGGGGGCUCGGGGGGAUGUUAAGGACCCAUAACCCAGUGGUGAGAGAGAGCGGGGGACCCGACGACUCCCUGGGGCUGGCCUGGAUGAGUGGGUGGGUGAGGCAGUUACCCCGAGGAAGGCGCAGAUCUGGGGAAGCGGAUGCCUGGCCGUGCCUAGUGCAGCCUGCAUGCAGGUGCCGGCAGAGGGGCCCCAGACUCAAGAGACCCACAGCCCCACGCCCCCACCGGGCGCCCAGCCCAUUGCGAAUAUGCAUAAAAUAUCACUACUCUCCCGACCCCUGCACACUGCCCCACUGAGUAACCCUGUUCCCAUGUUCCACCCUGGGGAACCUCGGCACCUGCCCCACCCGCCAGCCCCCUCUCGCCAUUUGCCGUGAGGAUCUGCACCCGUGUCACCACCAUCAGCCACGGGCAGGAGACCAGCCAGCCCCCGAGGGACAGGGCUUACAGAAGGGUACAUGGAGGGUACUCAGCUCAGUUUCUCUCCCGCUCGCUUCCAGCCAGAGCCCGAAUCCCAAACCCAGGACUGAGACGAAGCCAGAGUCCCUGGAGCCACGAGGAGGACUUUGUUCAUAGGCAUCAAAGCCACCCUGCUUGGCCCCAGCUCUCAGAGCCACGUUUCUGGGUCUGAUUACCCACAACUAAGGCUGCCCUGCCAGGGCCCUGGGGUGGGGGAGACGGAAGGCGAGAAUUCCUGGGGCGAGGUACAAGAACAGGGUUCCCAAAGGGCAGAGGGGAGCAGGCUCUGGGACAUUAGAGCCCAGUACAGCGGUUCCUAAAAUAAUUCCACAAUUACUGUAUGAGCCGCCCGACAAUCCUACUUCUGGGUAUUUAUUUACCUGACUGAAUCGAAAGCAGGGACUUGAAGGGAGAUUUGUCCAUCCACGUCCAUGGCAGUGCUGUUCACAAGAGCCAAGACUGGGGGAAACCUAAGUGUCCAUCGACGGAUGGAUAAACAAAAUGUGGUCUAUUCGUGCGGUGGAAUAUUAUUACUCAGCCCUUAAAAAAAGGAAGGAAAUUCCAACGCGUGCUACAAUAUGGAUGAACCUCGUGGACACUGUACUCAGUGAAAGAAGCCAGUCCCAACAGGACGAACACUGGAUGAUUCCACUUGUGGGAGGCACCUGGAGUUGUCAAACUCACAGAGACAGAAAGCAGGACGGUGGUCCCCGGGACUGGUGCGGGGGAGGGGGGUGGGUUGGUGUUUAAGGGGGGACAGAGCUUCGGUUUGGGAAGAUGGAAAGGUUCUGCAGAUGGAUGGUGGGGACAGCUGUACAAUAGGAGUAUACAUAAAGCCCCUGAACUGGACACUUCAAAAUGGCUACAAUGGCCCAGCCUCUCCCCUGUCCCAGCCCCACACUGUCACCCCCUCCCCACAAAAGCUUCCUUCCUUCCUUCCACUUUCCUGACUUUUCUCUCAGCCCAUCAGUAAAAUCCUCAACAGAUUA
Panthera uncia (snow leopard) is the source of this 3294-nucleotide long non-coding RNA. RefSeq lists it as uncharacterized. The transcript has 2 exons. The record is from RefSeq and is a predicted model, not a curated record. Lineage: Eukaryota; Metazoa; Chordata; Mammalia; Carnivora; Felidae.